RNAcentral lists this small nuclear RNA (107 nucleotides) under Tupaia belangeri chinensis (Chinese tree shrew). The record is from RNAcentral. Lineage: Eukaryota; Metazoa; Chordata; Mammalia; Scandentia; Tupaiidae.
GUGCUCGCUUUGGCAGCACAUAUACUAAAAUUGGAAUGAUAUAGAGAAGAUUAGCAUGGCCCCUGUGCAAGGAUGACAUGCAAAUUUGUGAAGCGUUCCAUAUUUUU